UACGUAGGUGGCAAGCGUUGUCCGGAAUUAUUGGGCGUAAAGCGCGCGCAGGUGGUUUCUUAAGUCUGAUGUGAAAGCCCACGGCUCAACCGUGGAGGGUCAUUGGAAACUGGGGAACUUGAGUGCAGAAGAGGAGAGUGGAAUUCCAAGUGUAGCGGUGAAAUGCGUAGAGAUUUGGAGGAACACCAGUGGCGAAGGCGGUUUCCUGGAGCCCACUUGACGCUGAGACGCGAAAGCUGGGGGAGCAAACGGG
This 253-nucleotide ribosomal RNA is filed under the name uncultured bacterium. RNAcentral describes it as "partial 16S ribosomal RNA". It matches the Rfam family "Bacterial small subunit ribosomal RNA", at positions 524 to 776 of the family's 1533-position model. The record is from RNAcentral.